AUGCUCCCAGUAUGGGUGACAUAUUCCCCUGUGUCGUGCAAAUUGGUUGGAACGAUUAGGACCCAUUUUCAAAAUCUUCUUCAAAGAAACCAAAUCUUGACUGACCACAGAAUAAUCGCAGCCUUUAGGAGGAACAGGAACCUGGGUGAUUUUCUUAUUAAGGCAAAGGUGCCACCGCUCUCUGAACCUAAGUCCAGAGACCAAGGAAAACAAUUUUUUUCACCACCAGAAGUGGGUACAGAGUCUCUCUCUCCCUCGCUCUAAUAAAAAUAAGAAAUGAUAUCAGAUGGACUAGACAGUUUCCUCUGGCACUGAUAUUGCAUGUACACUUUAGAGAUUGUAAACAAAUUGUGUUUUAUAAAAACUAACAAAGAAUUGUGUGGUUAUGUUGAUUACUAAACAAAAGCACAAAAGCACUCAGUGUCUUGUGGAGGCUAAAUCCCCUCCACAAUUUAAUGCAGGAAUCUGUCUGCCUUUCUUGUUUUAAUAUAGUGUUUUUAGUUAAUUUAUUAGAAUUUAUAUUUUAUUAUAUCUACCACUCUUCCCGCUAGCUCAGAAGCUGAAUAUUUUCACAAUCAUUUAAUACAAGAACCAGUCAGUCAUAAGGGAUCGACUACAGUAUAUUCCAAAGAGGACCAUCGAGGGAAGGAGAAGAGGAGCAGAGAAGUUGAACAGGAGUCUCAAAGAAGAAAUCUGGAUGAUCCAGCGGCCCCUAGGACCGUGCAAUAAAAACUUUAACGAAAGAGAACUAAAUCAAACUGUGACAGGGAGAACAUACUCUUUAUCUCUGCCUGACCCCAUCACACUCAAUUAACUGAUUUUAAUUAGUAGGCCUUCUCUCCACAUCAUGUCAUAGGCUUUUUCUAUAUCAAAAAAAAAACAAAAAAAAAAAAAAAAAACAAAACAAAAAAAAAAAAAACUGCCACGACCCUCUUUAUUUGUGCUUUCCUGACUUUGUGUUCCAAACACAACACCGGAUCCCUGGAAUUUCUCCCUCUUCUGAACCCACUUUGAUUUAUCAUUUGCUCCAUCAUUUUACAGAUACUCGAUGUUAAAGCUAUAGGUCUGUAAUUUCCUUGGUUUGUCUCAACCUUCCCCUGUUGCCCGCCACUGCCUCUUUCCACCUUCUGAAGUGUUCAAGUGAGCUCUGGUCUUAAAUCCCUGUAGACAUUGAUUACACACAGGUGUUGCCAAUCCGAGUAGACAACACGCCUUCUUCCCAAGGUGGAAACACUGGUACAAUGGAAAAAAACAGCACUCACCUGGAACAUGACAGGGUUGUUGUGAUUGGGUUUCUCUGUAUUACUGUCUUUUUUUGCUGAAAAAAAAAUUUUUUUGAACUGAACUGAAUUUCCACAGCUAGACAUGAGCGUGACACUGAUAAUAUCCUUCUUAGAAGGGAGGCUUUCUAUACAAUCAGUUGAAGGUCUG
Long non-coding RNA from Astatotilapia calliptera (eastern happy), 1431 nucleotides. The record is from Ensembl. NCBI's taxonomy places the organism in Eukaryota, Metazoa, Chordata, Actinopteri, Cichliformes, Cichlidae.